CCGAGGUCGGCAGGGGUGACUUUCGGCGGUUGCAGCUCGCUGAAAGGCUUGAGGCCGCGGUUCGAUUCCAUGCCCUUGCGC
Molecule: transfer RNA, 81 nt
Filed under: Pseudomonas antarctica
Lineage: Bacteria; Pseudomonadati; Pseudomonadota; Gammaproteobacteria; Pseudomonadales; Pseudomonadaceae
Description: tRNA-Cys
Source: RNAcentral